CGCGUAGGCGGGAUGGCAAGUCGGUCGUGAAAUCCCUCGGCUCAACCGAGGAACGUCGAUCGAUACUGCUGUUCUUGAGGAUUGCAGAGGAGACUGGAAUUCCCGGUGUAGCGGUGAAAUGUGUAGAGAUCGGGAGGAACACCGGUGGCGAAGGCGGGUCUCUGGGCAAUUCCUGACGCUGAGGCGCGAAAGCGUGGGGAGCAAACGGGAUUAGAUACCCCGGUAGUCCACGCUGUAAACGAUGACGACUAGGUGUGGGGGGGUUCAGUCCCUUCCGUGCCGCAGCUAACGCAUUAAGUCGUCCGCCUGGGGAGUACGGCCGCAAGGUUGAA
This 332-nucleotide ribosomal RNA is filed under the name uncultured bacterium. RNAcentral's name for it is "bacterial SSU rRNA". It matches the Rfam family "Bacterial small subunit ribosomal RNA", at positions 568 to 898 of the family's 1533-position model. The record is from RNAcentral.